AAUGAACGCUGGCGGCGUGCCUAACACAUGCAAGUCGAGCGUGAAAGUCCUUCGGGAUGAGUAAAGCGGCAGACGGGUGAGAAACGCGUGAGAAUUUACCAUUCAGUGAGGAAUACCCUCGAGAAAUCGAGGUUAAUACUGCAUACGUCCUACGGGAGAAAGGUGGCCUCUUGCUGCCGCUGAAUGAUUAGCUUGCGUACUAUUAGCUAGUUGGUAGGGUAAAGGCCUACCAAGGCGAUGAUGGUUAGCCGGCCUGAGAGGGUGUACGGCCACACUGGAACUUAGACACGGUCCAGACUCCUACGGGAGGCAGCAGUGGGGAAUAUUGCGCAAUGGGCGAAAGCCUGACGCAGCGACGCCGCGUGGAGGAUGAAGGUCUUCGGAUUGUAAACUUCUGUUAAGUGGGAAGAAAUGCCCAUCUCUAAUACAGAUGGGAAAUGACGGUACCAUUAGAGAAAGCACCGGCUAACUUCGUGCCAGCAGCCGCGGUAAUACGAAGGGUGCGAGCGUUAUUCGGAAUCAUUGGGCGUAAAGGGUGCGUAGACGGUAUAUUAAGUCUGUUGUUAAAUGCCUCGGCCUAACCGAGGAGUUGCGGUGGAAACUAAUAUGCUAGAGGGUGGAAGAGAGAAGUGGAAUUCUCGGAGUAGCGGUAAAAUGCGUAGAUCUCGAGAGGAACACCAAUGGCGAAGGCAACUUCUUGGUCCAUACCUGACGUUGAGGCACGAAAGCGUGGGGAGCAAACAGGAUUAGAUACCCUGGUAGUCCACGCUGUAAACGAUGAUCACUAGAUGUCAGUUUUGUUUUACAGAAUUGGUAUCGCAGCUAACGCGUUAAGUGAUCCGCCUGGGGACUACGAUCGCAAGAUUAAAACUCAAAGAAAUUGACGGGGGCCCGCACAAGCGGUGGAUCAUGUGGUUUAAUUCGACACUACGCGAGGAACCUUACCUGGGCUUGACAUGUACUUGACAGCUCUAGAAACAGAGUCUUCUGAGCGAAAGCUUAGACAGGUACACAGGUGCUGCAUGGCUGUCGUCAGCUCGUGUCGUGAGAUGUUGGGUUAAGUCCUCUAACGAGCGCAACCCUUGUCGUCAGUUGCAACUGCUUAUGCAAGGCACUCUGACGAGACUGCCUGGGAAACCAGGAGGAAGGUGGGGAUGACGUCAAGUCCGCAUGGCCCUUAUGUCCAGGGCUACACACAUGAUACAAUGGCUAGUACAAAGAGCUGCGAACUCGCAAGAGCAAGCUAAUCUCACAAAACUAGUCUAAGUUCAGAUUGAGGUCUGCAACUCGACCUCAUGAAGUUGAAAUCGCUAGUAAUCGCGCAUCAGCAACGACGCGGUGAAUACGUUCUCGGGCCUUGUACACACCGCCCGUCACGUCAUGAAAGCUGUUUGUACCCGAAGUUGCCUUAGCUAACCCUUACGGGAGGCGGGCACCUAAGGUAUGGGGAGUGAUUGGG
This 1459-nucleotide ribosomal RNA is filed under the name uncultured bacterium. RNAcentral's name for it is "16S ribosomal RNA". It matches the Rfam family "Bacterial small subunit ribosomal RNA". The record is from RNAcentral.